RNAcentral lists this ribosomal RNA (373 nucleotides) under uncultured prokaryote. RNAcentral's name for it is "bacterial SSU rRNA". It matches the Rfam family "Bacterial small subunit ribosomal RNA", at positions 355 to 745 of the family's 1533-position model. The record is from RNAcentral.
UGGGGAAUAUUGGACAAUGGGCGCAAGCCUGAUCCAGCCAUGCCGCGUGAGUGAAGAAGGCCCUAGGGUUGUAAAGCUCUUUCAGCGGGGAAGAUGAUGACGGUACCCGCGGAAGAAGCCCCGGCUAACUCCGUGCCAGCAGCCGCGGUAAUACGGAGGGGGCAAGCGUUGUUCAGAAUUACUGGGCGUAAAGGGCGCGCAGGCGGCUGGUCGCGUCAGGUGUGAAAGCCCCGGGCUCAACCUGGGAACUGCACUUGAUACGGGCCGGCUAGAGGUCGAAAGAGGAGUGUGGAAUUCCCAGUGUAGAGGUGAAAUUCGUAGAUAUUGGGAAGAACACCAGUGGCGAAGGCGGCCAUCUGGACCGGCACUGACG